Molecule: unclassified non-coding RNA, 247 nt
Filed under: Hevea brasiliensis (rubber tree)
Lineage: Eukaryota; Viridiplantae; Streptophyta; Magnoliopsida; Malpighiales; Euphorbiaceae
Source: RNAcentral
CUCCAGGACUUCUUUAAUGUUGAGAUACAUGAAGAUAGUAGUAAAAACUUGCAAUCAGCCUCAUCUUCUCUAUGAUUUAGGGGGGGCAGUGGAUUCACUCGAGGAGUCGAGGACUUUUGCAUAUUACUGAAGACUAAAUUGUGAUAAAUCUGUUCUCCUGUGCUCUCACCCCUCUGCCAGGUCUCCUCCUAGUCCAUACCCUGCUGUCUUUACUUUCAUUGCAUAAAAUAUUAUCUAUAAUGCCCAG